Long non-coding RNA from Hyla sarda, 336 nucleotides. RefSeq lists it as uncharacterized. The transcript has 4 exons. The record is from RefSeq and is a predicted model, not a curated record. Lineage: Eukaryota; Metazoa; Chordata; Amphibia; Anura; Hylidae.
AUUCAAUCGCUGAAACCAUCCAAGCUAAGGGCCGUGGCAACAGUAAUUACACAUGAGGGACAUACAUAUUUAUAAGAAAAGCAUCAAAAACUUGAAGUGUCCAAGCUGCCAUAUUCAGGACAGAAGCAGCAAUGCUGUUGAGGUAGAAGAAUGUGACUUUGCAAUUCAAAUAAAUGAAGCAGAACUUCUAAAGAGCAUACAUUAUAGAUUGACAAUAUUCUUGGUGAUGGAAACCUUGGGAAAAAUAGCAACAUGUUAAAGGCAAGAUGUUAUGAGUAGCAGAUGAUCUGUGACAGUCCAAUUAUUGUUCAUAUGGAAAUAAAUCUUACAUUGUUU